GGGGUUGGAAGUCCAGGACUGUUUAAUUUUCUUAAUAAUAGUCUCAAAUAGUUGUAUUAUUCUCUGGUGUUAAAAGUGGUAUGGGUUAGUCUAUUGCUUUUGGAUUCGAGUUGGGGGUCUAACAUUACUUGAACUACUUGAGACAUAUAUUAUCUCUUUUUUUCUUUUUGUUGGGUUUUCACGAUUUCAGCUAAUGGCAUUUUUUGGCUAUGGGUUAACAAUUGUUGUGGUGAUGCAUGUUCCUUGAAAUCACUUUGGGUGGCUCCAUCUUUGGUCGUUUUCCU
RNAcentral lists this long non-coding RNA (284 nucleotides) under Lupinus angustifolius (narrow-leaved blue lupine). RNAcentral describes it as "long non-coding RNA (LANG_LNC000075)". The record is from RNAcentral. Lineage: Eukaryota; Viridiplantae; Streptophyta; Magnoliopsida; Fabales; Fabaceae.